GAGUUUGAUCCUGGCUCAGAACGAACGCUGGCGGCGCGCUUAACACAUGCAAGUCGAACGAGAAGCUGUAGCAAUACAGUUGUAAAGUGGCAAACGGGUGAGUAAUGCGUGGGUAAUCUACCCUAGGGUGGGGAAUAACUCCUCGAAAGGGGAGCUAAUGCCGACAUGUGCGCCACUCUCGCAAGGGAGUGAUGGAAAGCCGUACCGUGGGUGCGGCGCCCAAGGAUGAGCUCACGUCCUAUCAGCUUGUUGGCGGGGUAACGGCCCACCAAGGCUGCGACGGGUAGCUGGUCUGAGAGGACGACCAGCCACACUGGCACUGCGACACGGGCCAGACUCCUACGGGAGGCAGCAGUGAGGAAUAUUGCGCAAUGGACGACAGUCUGACGCAGCGACGCCGCGUGGGGGAUGAAGGCCUUCGGGUUGUAAACCCCUUUCAGGAGGGAAGAUGGGACGGGUAACCGUUCGGACGGUACCUCCAGAAGCAGCCACGGCUAACUCUGUGCCAGCAGCCGCGGUAAGACAGAGGUGGCAAGCGUUGUUCGGAUUUACUGGGCGUAAAGAGUGCGUAGGUGGUGAGGUAAGAUCUGUGGGAAAGACCUGGGCUUGACCCAGGAAGGUCGCAGAUGACUGCCUCGCUUGAGGACGGG
RNAcentral lists this ribosomal RNA (650 nucleotides) under uncultured bacterium. RNAcentral describes it as "bacterial SSU rRNA". It matches the Rfam family "Bacterial small subunit ribosomal RNA", at positions 9 to 652 of the family's 1533-position model. The record is from RNAcentral.